UGGGCACCUCACAGAGCCAGCAAACCCUCAAGUUUGCUGUACUUGGAGGAUCGACGCAAACACUGAUAGAGCCUGGGCUGUUACCCCCAGUCCUCAAGGCUCAACGCUUUGCUGUUGAGAAGAAGCAAAAGACAUCCAACCUGAAUGCAUCUGAAAGUAUUGUGGACACAGACAGCAGAACAUGAUGUUUAGUGAAGAUUUGAAGAAAAAAAAAAAGUUCAAUUAUUUAUGGAAGCUUCUGUGACUGUAGACAACAUCAUCUCAAGAGACUGAUACUGACAUAUACAAGGGAGCCUCAGUCUCAAAGCCGGGGGUGAUACUCAUGAAGAGGACUUGUCAGAAAACCAUUCUGGGUCAUCUUUUUCACUGAGAGGGCUGGAAGUCUUUGGAUAGAGGUAUGGCACUGACUACGGUGUGUGGGAUAAAACAUCUUGGAAUUGCAGAAGAUUUUUUAUAUGGUGUUUAGGGGAAGCAUCAAAGGUGGGAGAAGGGAGGGAUCAGGAUGAUUUGAAAAGGAAGUGUAAGGGAAAAAGAAGAAAAAAUGAUAAAAGGGAUUGAUUGCACAUAAGCAGAUUGCCAGUCAAUACACCUGUGUGGCUGUGUAUUGCACUGAUCCCUCCAGACUGUUAUGUUUUCUCAUUUAAUGCCAUUUCUAGCUGAUUUUCCGGUAACAGGACUCUGCUCUGUGUACCUGUGUGUGUCUGGAUGUCCAAGUGCCAGCAAUGGGAGUGAGGCCGUUGGUCACAACCCUGAGUGCCAGCACCUGGAGACCCCAGAGUUCAUGUAUGUUGUGUGGGUAGACACACCAGGGCGUCAUCACAGCCUACAUCUAACUGACUUACUAGCAAAUGGGGAGGGAGAUUUUGGAGUCAAGUGUGGCAGGUACCACAAGUCUAGGCCUGAAGGUGGAGAGAUCAAAGGGUCUCGAGUCUACCACUGGAGGAACAAGGAGGUUCAGACCAGCAACUGGAGAGUCCAUGGUCUUUGCAGGAUGACUGCUGGUAAGUUUAUGAGUCUAGACCAGCUACUGGGGGCAUUUCUGUCUCUCUGAGGCAGAAGGCAACUGAGGGACUGGAGGACCCAAGGGCCAGCUAUAUGGUCUGUUGGGUGUCUGUGAGAGACUGGAGGAAAUGACUGUCUCAAAACAUUUCAUGUACAUGUGUGGGGAAGGAGAAGGUUGGGUCUUGCCUUUGCUGAAGCUAUGCACUGCUCUAAACACCCCACCACUCCCUGGGGCCUGUAUCCCAACAUCACAGGGGCUGCAAAUCCCUGGCAUUCCAGAGGCCAUGCUCCACGCCUGCCCCUGGAGCCCCAAACCCAGCUCCUGAGUGGCUGGAUGACUGAAAGUCCCACCUGGGAGAGGGCCCAGGAAGGCCAAAGGGUACUUAAGCGAAGCAUGAGGUAAGUAUGUGUCUUGAUUUUACCUCCUUUUUACCUCCAAAUUCUACCUUUAGACUUUGCAUCAUCUGAAACAGUGAUGGAACCAGGAGUGGUAGGUAUAUUUGUUCUUUUCUAUAUCGCUCUCUCUUCUAAUUUCUUCUUCUCAAAGUCUGCGUAACUUAAAAUCAGAUGGGCUUGGAUUAUGUUUAAGAUGAAUGGGCUAAGUUAACCCUUUGUGAAAUGAUUUAUGUUGAUUUAACAUAGCUUCAAACUUUUGCCCAAGUUCCCUGAUUUUCUGAAGUUUGCCAGUAAAAUUUCUGUUGUUUUCUCUUGGGGAGUAUUUUUUUUUUAUUUUGCCCUUUCAUCUUACUCAGGAUGCAUUAACAAAAAGUAAGCUUGUUUAAGAGAGUCUUCAAGCAAGUUCUGGGCCUUACAGCGUCUAAGGCCAGGUGGUGGACAGGUCCACAGUGUGGAUAUUUGUGUGUGUAGGUCUGAGUACCAGUGUGUGGACUGGGGCUGCAUCCUUGGGCUCACAUGUCCAGGUACCUGCAGCUGGAAAGAUGGGGGGUGCAGGGUAGAUUAUGUGCCAUUGCCUAGCUACUUGGGGGAUUCAUGCUCUAACAGGCUUUAAUCCUGAUCAGCCAGAAAAAGUAACAGGAUAGGGGUUGUUAGUGCUGUUUUUGCUAGUGCUGACUGUGUGUGUCUGUGGUGACCUGUGCAGCUGGCUGUGCUUGUGCAUGCAUUUGUACUGUUAGAUUCUUUUAUUUUCAAGUUUUCCAACCUAAAUUAUUCUAUGUGCAUGUGUGUCUAGGUGUGUGUCUAUUGGGAAUUCAGUCUUGCUACUUGCUGGACCUCUGGAGAUAGGGCUGUGCCAGCUUGGUCUCCAUUGGGGUACUGCAUUUGGCAACUCCUAACAAAUAAGAUUCCUUUUAGAGGGAAAGCUCUCCUUCAUCUUUGUGCUUAUUGCCUUUCAUAAUUCCACAUUCCUAGUCUUGUGACUUUUGUGCCAGCAAUCUUCUUCAGCUAAAUAGUCCUCUGUAGCUCUUUGCAGAAGCCAGAGGGAAUAGCCUUGUUAAUGAGGCACUUAAACCAAGUGUUAGGUUAAUCAGGGGAAGAAGUUGUACUUGGUCUGCUAAAGACGACUAUGACCUUAAUUUCACCUUUUACAGAUUUUAGAAUGAGUGUUCCUCUUUGCAGUAACUCUGUCCUAAACCCAAGCCAUUAACUUCAGUUGAUGCCUUUGAAAGAAAAGCCA
Molecule: long non-coding RNA, 2635 nt
Organism: Hirundo rustica (Barn swallow)
Lineage: Eukaryota; Metazoa; Chordata; Aves; Passeriformes; Hirundinidae
Exons: 4
Source: RefSeq, a predicted model, not a curated record